GGUUCCAUGGUGUAACGGUCAGCACUCUGGACUUUGAAUCAAGCAAUCCGAGGUCAAAUCUAGGUGGAAUCU
Molecule: transfer RNA, 72 nt
Filed under: Stegodyphus mimosarum
Lineage: Eukaryota; Metazoa; Arthropoda; Arachnida; Araneae; Eresidae
Rfam family: tRNA
About the family: Transfer RNA (tRNA) molecules are approximately 80 nucleotides in length. Their secondary structure includes four short double-helical elements and three loops (D, anti-codon, and T loops).
Source: Rfam by way of RNAcentral